This 2893-nucleotide ribosomal RNA is filed under the name Escherichia coli. Its description in RNAcentral is "bacterial LSU rRNA". It matches the Rfam family "Bacterial large subunit ribosomal RNA". Lineage: Bacteria; Pseudomonadati; Pseudomonadota; Gammaproteobacteria; Enterobacterales; Enterobacteriaceae. The record is from RNAcentral.
ACUAAGCGUACACGGUGGAUGCCCUGGCAGUCAGAGGCGAUGAAGGACGUGCUAAUCUGCGAUAAGCGUCGGUAAGGUGAUAUGAACCGUUAUAACCGGCGAUUUCCGAAUGGGGAAACCCAGUGUGAUUCGUCACACUAUCAUUAACUGAAUCCAUAGGUUAAUGAGGCGAACCGGGGGAACUGAAACAUCUAAGUACCCCGAGGAAAAGAAAUCAACCGAGAUUCCCCCAGUAGCGGCGAGCGAACGGGGAGCAGCCCAGAGCCUGAAUCAGUGUGUGUGUUAGUGGAAGCGUCUGGAAAGGCGCGCGAUACAGGGUGACAGCCCCGUACACAAAAAUGCACAUGCUGUGAGCUCGAUGAGUAGGGCGGGACACGUGGUAUCCUGUCUGAAUAUGGGGGGACCAUCCUCCAAGGCUAAAUACUCCUGACUGACCGAUAGUGAACCAGUACCGUGAGGGAAAGGCGAAAAGAACCCCGGCGAGGGGAGUGAAAAAGAACCUGAAACCGUGUACGUACAAGCAGUGGGAGCACGCUUAGGCGUGUGACUGCGUACCUUUUGUAUAAUGGGUCAGCGACUUAUAUUCUGUAGCAAGGUUAACCGAAUAGGGGAGCCGAAGGGAAACCGAGUCUUAACUGGGCGUUAAGUUGCAGGGUAUAGACCCGAAACCCGGUGAUCUAGCCAUGGGCAGGUUGAAGGUUGGGUAACACUAACUGGAGGACCGAACCGACUAAUGUUGAAAAAUUAGCGGAUGACUUGUGGCUGGGGGUGAAAGGCCAAUCAAACCGGGAGAUAGCUGGUUCUCCCCGAAAGCUAUUUAGGUAGCGCCUCGUGAAUUCAUCUCCGGGGGUAGAGCACUGUUUCGGCAAGGGGGUCAUCCCGACUUACCAACCCGAUGCAAACUGCGAAUACCGGAGAAUGUUAUCACGGGAGACACACGGCGGGUGCUAACGUCCGUCGUGAAGAGGGAAACAACCCAGACCGCCAGCUAAGGUCCCAAAGUCAUGGUUAAGUGGGAAACGAUGUGGGAAGGCCCAGACAGCCAGGAUGUUGGCUUAGAAGCAGCCAUCAUUUAAAGAAAGCGUAAUAGCUCACUGGUCGAGUCGGCCUGCGCGGAAGAUGUAACGGGGCUAAACCAUGCACCGAAGCUGCGGCAGCGACGCUUAUGCGUUGUUGGGUAGGGGAGCGUUCUGUAAGCCUGCGAAGGUGUGCUGUGAGGCAUGCUGGAGGUAUCAGAAGUGCGAAUGCUGACAUAAGUAACGAUAAAGCGGGUGAAAAGCCCGCUCGCCGGAAGACCAAGGGUUCCUGUCCAACGUUAAUCGGGGCAGGGUGAGUCGACCCCUAAGGCGAGGCCGAAAGGCGUAGUCGAUGGGAAACAGGUUAAUAUUCCUGUACUUGGUGUUACUGCGAAGGGGGGACGGAGAAGGCUAUGUUGGCCGGGCGACGGUUGUCCCGGUUUAAGCGUGUAGGCUGGUUUUCCAGGCAAAUCCGGAAAAUCAAGGCUGAGGCGUGAUGACGAGGCACUACGGUGCUGAAGCAACAAAUGCCCUGCUUCCAGGAAAAGCCUCUAAGCAUCAGGUAACAUCAAAUCGUACCCCAAACCGACACAGGUGGUCAGGUAGAGAAUACCAAGGCGCUUGAGAGAACUCGGGUGAAGGAACUAGGCAAAAUGGUGCCGUAACUUCGGGAGAAGGCACGCUGAUAUGUAGGUGAAGUGAUUUACUCAUGGAGCUGAAAUCAGUCGAAGAUACCAGCUGGCUGCAACUGUUUAUUAAAAACACAGCACUGUGCAAACACGAAAGUGGACGUAUACGGUGUGACGCCUGCCCGGUGCCGGAAGGUUAAUUGAUGGGGUUAGCGCAAGCGAAGCUCUUGAUCGAAGCCCCGGUAAACGGCGGCCGUAACUAUAACGGUCCUAAGGUAGCGAAAUUCCUUGUCGGGUAAGUUCCGACCUGCACGAAUGGCGUAAUGAUGGCCAGGCUGUCUCCACCCGAGACUCAGUGAAAUUGAACUCGCUGUGAAGAUGCAGUGUACCCGCGGCAAGACGGAAAGACCCCGUGAACCUUUACUAUAGCUUGACACUGAACAUUGAGCCUUGAUGUGUAGGAUAGGUGGGAGGCUUUGAAGUGUGGACGCCAGUCUGCAUGGAGCCGACCUUGAAAUACCACCCUUUAAUGUUUGAUGUUCUAACGUGGACCCGUAAUCCGGGUUGCGGACAGUGUCUGGUGGGUAGUUUGACUGGGGCGGUCUCCUCCUAAAGAGUAACGGAGGAGCACGAAGGUUGGCUAAUCCUGGUCGGACAUCAGGAGGUUAGUGCAAUGGCAUAAGCCAGCUUGACUGCGAGCGUGACGGCGCGAGCAGGUGCGAAAGCAGGUCAUAGUGAUCCGGUGGUUCUGAAUGGAAGGGCCAUCGCUCAACGGAUAAAAGGUACUCCGGGGAUAACAGGCUGAUACCGCCCAAGAGUUCAUAUCGACGGCGGUGUUUGGCACCUCGAUGUCGGCUCAUCACAUCCUGGGGCUGAAGUAGGUCCCAAGGGUAUGGCUGUUCGCCAUUUAAAGUGGUACGCGAGCUGGGUUUAGAACGUCGUGAGACAGUUCGGUCCCUAUCUGCCGUGGGCGCUGGAGAAUUGAGGGGGGCUGCUCCUAGUACGAGAGGACCGGAGUGGACGCAUCACUGGUGUUCGGGUUGUCAUGCCAAUGGCACUGCCCGGUAGCUAAAUGCGGAAGAGAUAAGUGCUGAAAGCAUCUAAGCACGAAACUUGCCCCGAGAUGAGUUCUCCCUGACUCCUUGAGAGUCCUGAAGGAACGUUGAAGACGACGACGUUGAUAGGCCGGGUGUGUAAGCGCAGCGAUGCGUUGAGCUAACCGGUACUAAUGAACCGUGAGGCUUAACC